CAAUAGCGUAUAUUAAAGUUGUUGCAGUUAAAAAGCUCGUAGUUGAAUUUCUGGCGGGCGCGCCGGUCUUCCAAGUGUUGUACUGGGCGCAGUCCGCCAUCCUUGUGGAGAGGGCUCGCAUUGAGUUGCGUGUCGGAUCUGCAUCAUUUACUGUGAAAAAAUUAGAGUGUUUAAAGCAGGCUGUCGCUUGAAUACAUUAGCAUGGAAUAAUAAGAUAGGACUUCGGUCUAUUUUGUUGGUUGCGAACCGAGGUAAUGAUUAAUAGGGAUAGUUGGGGGUAUUCAUAUUUGGCAGUCAGAGGUGAAAUUCUUAGAUUUGCUGAAGAUGAACAACUGCGAAAGCAUUUACCAAGGAUGUUUUCAUUAA
RNAcentral lists this ribosomal RNA (366 nucleotides) under uncultured eukaryote. Its description in RNAcentral is "partial 18S ribosomal RNA". It matches the Rfam family "Eukaryotic small subunit ribosomal RNA", at positions 592 to 976 of the family's 1831-position model. The record is from RNAcentral.